GGAAAAAAAAUAGCAAGUGAUAGCAAGAGAGCUUCGAAGUGAGCAAAAACUAGCUCUGGCUGACAGGCACCAUCGACGUCAUCAUCUUUAUAUUAAGGCUCGUCGAUUUAUUUCUUUCUCUGUCUAGGCCUCUCUCUCUCUCUCUCUCUGGGUUUUUUUGGCCCUCUCUUUAUUUUAUUGUUCUGGUUUCAAAAUUCAGUCAACAGAGGAGGUUUGAGUAUGGCGACUCAAUCAUCGGAUCCUCCUCCUCCUUCAAACCCUGCCGAUCAAAAUCCUGGGAAUGUACAGCCAACAAAUGGGAUUCAGCAAGAUGCUGAGGUUGAGGCUAUCAAGCAAAGUCCUCCAUCUGUCUUUGUGAACUCGGAACCAAUGCGAGAGGAACAAGUGCAGAAUGCUGUAAAGUUUCUUUCGCACCCAAAAGUUAGGGGUUCUCCAGUUAUGUAUAGAAGAUCGUUUCUUGAGAAGAAGGGCCUCACAAAGGAAGAGAUAGAUGAAGCUUUUCUUCGUGUGCCGGAUCCAACUCCAAGCACACAGGCAACCAGUUUGAAUCAAGCAGAGGGGCAGGUGAAAUCAACACCAAAUGCUCAGCCACUAGCUUCAGCACAAACUCUGCAGCCUGUAGCAGCUGGUCCUACUGCUGUAAUUUCUUCAGUAGGGACUUUGACUCGAUCUCGGUUUCACUGGUAUCAUGCUGUUUUUGCCGUAGGACUAUUGGCAGUUUCAGGUGCUGGAACAGUUGUGUUAGUUAAGAAUACUGUUAUUCCCAGGCUGAAGUCUUGGAUACGUAAGGUUGUGUUGGAAGAAGAAGAUGACAAUGUGAAGAAAACUAAUUUAAAGCCAAGCUUGGCAGAAGAAGCUGCGGCAGCUGCCAAAGCAGCAGCAGCAGCAGCUGUUGAUGUUGCAAGAGCGAGCCAGGAACUAUUGAAUUCAAAAAAUGAAGAGAAGAGAUACUUCAAGGAAUUUAUGAAAAUGUUAGAUUUGCAAGUACAGGAAAUGAAGUCAAUGAGUACUGCAAUACAUAGAUUGGAAGGUCAAACAGAUAACCGUGUGAGAAACUCUCUUGCUGAUCAAGAAGAUUAUAGAGCCUUAGUUGCAAAUCCAAAGCAAACAUAUACCAAUGGCAAGACAGAGUUUGAUUUGCACUCAGGGGGAUCUUCAUCGCAGCCUGCAUCUGCUGAACCCUCUGCUGCACCACACCCUAAGUCAUAUAUGGAGAUCAUGGAGAUGGUUCGGAGAGGAGAGAGACCUGGCAAUAUCAGGGAUAUCAAUGAUCAACCACCCAAUCCUAGUCAGCAAAUUUCAAAUCCUCGCAUUGCGCCUAGAACUAAGCCAUGGGAGGUUGGUCAAGUCCAAAAUAACUCAAGCCAGGUGCUUCAGUCUCAAGUGAGCGGAGAAGAUUUGAAUUCCAAGGUACAAGACAAUGGUAUCUAUCAGUUUGAUGGUGAGAGCACUACACCCUGGUGGCAGCAGAAAAAUACCGGAAUUGCAGAGAUAGAUAAUGAAGAUGAAGUAAAGGCUGGACUUUAUGGUGGACAAAACAACCAGCAACCAGUUAGGCGCACAUGGGUCCCUCCCCGGCCACCUCCUGUUGUGAUGGCUGAAGCGGCUGAAGCCAUCAGACGACCAAAACAAUCAAUUCAGAAAGAACAAUUGGAAAAUGAUCGAUCUGUGUCUCAUCGAACAGACACGGCUGAUGAGUUGCAAAGGAUAACAAAAAUAUCAGAAUCAGGGGGUGCUGUGGAGAUUAAUGGUGGGGGGUCAGUGCUGAACUCAAGUGAGAUACAGGAGGAGCCAGAACAAAUCCAUGAAGGGAACUAAAGCAGGGUUUGAUUUGCAUGAUCUGCUUGAUACAAAGUACAGUUUGGUGUUUGAAACCACUGCCCGCGAAUAUGUUAGAUCAGCCUGGAGGCCACCCUCUACCUGCCACCUGCCACCUGCUGAGACCAGCAGAAGCUGAAAUUUAGCUAGCAAAAGUUUUAUAGCAUGAGAGCGUGUUCGGCUAUUGUUUUGUAGCUUUUAUUGUUUAGUUUUGAAGCAAAGCAAUUAAGAUAUAUCAGAAAAGUAUUUGAUAAGGAUUUUGAAAA
Populus nigra (black poplar) is the source of this 2084-nucleotide RNA transcript. It is a transcript of the gene named peroxisomal membrane protein PEX14, with no coding region annotated. The transcript is spliced from 13 exons. The record is from RefSeq and is a predicted model, not a curated record. NCBI's taxonomy places the organism in Eukaryota, Viridiplantae, Streptophyta, Magnoliopsida, Malpighiales, Salicaceae.